RNAcentral lists this unclassified non-coding RNA (250 nucleotides) under uncultured fungus. RNAcentral's name for it is "partial contains 5.8S ribosomal RNA, internal transcribed spacer 2, and large subunit ribosomal RNA". The stretch from base 1 to 52 matches the Rfam family "5.8S ribosomal RNA", at positions 103 to 154 of the family's 154-position model. Lineage: Eukaryota; Fungi. The record is from RNAcentral.
AACGCACAUUGCGCCCGCCAGUAUUCUGGCGGGCAUGCCUGUUCGAGCGUCAUUUCAACCCUCAAGCCCCAGCGGCUUGGUGUUGGGGACCGGCCCCGCGCCGCCCCCGAAAUGCAGUGGCGACCUCGCCGCAGCCUCCCCUGCGUAGUAGCACAAACCUCGCACCGGAGCGCGGAGACGGUCACGCCGUAAAACGCCCAACUUUCUUAGAGUUGACCUCGGAUCAGGUAGGGCUACCCGCUGAACUUAA